UCGAAAUCCGCUAAGGAGUGU
Molecule: small nuclear RNA, 21 nt
Filed under: Arabidopsis thaliana (thale cress)
Lineage: Eukaryota; Viridiplantae; Streptophyta; Magnoliopsida; Brassicales; Brassicaceae
Description: snRNA_05025
Source: RNAcentral